UGCCUAAUACAUGCAAGUCGAGCGGACAGAUGGGAGCUUGCUCCCUGAUGUUAGCGGCGGACGGGUGAGUAACACGUGGGUAACCUGCCUGUAAGACUGGGAUAACUCCGGGAAACCGGGGCUAAUACCGGAUGGUUGUCUGAACCGCAUGGUUCAGACAUAAAAGGUGGCUUCGGCUACCACUUACAGAUGGACCCGCGGCGCAUUAGCUAGUUGGUGAGGUAACGGCUCACCAAGGCGACGAUGCGUAGCCGACCUGAGAGGGUGAUCGGCCACACUGGGACUGAGACACGGCCCAG
RNAcentral lists this ribosomal RNA (299 nucleotides) under Bacillus sp. Bal1. RNAcentral's name for it is "partial 16S ribosomal RNA". It matches the Rfam family "Bacterial small subunit ribosomal RNA", at positions 45 to 334 of the family's 1533-position model. Lineage: Bacteria; Bacillati; Bacillota; Bacilli; Caryophanales; Bacillaceae. The record is from RNAcentral.